CUACACCAACAUGGACGGCGCUGGUUGGAGUCGGAUAUGCGUCGCUCUUGUUGUCGCUGUGUGGCUGCCUGUCAUUAAUGGAAGUCCGAUAGGCACUACAACCAUUAACUGUGUUUCGGUUUCUGAAGCAAAGCAUCUGGGUGCUGUGGAUGAAGAAUAUUCAGGUGAUGUGGAGCUGGUGACUGGUAUUCCACCUGGUACCAGUCUGACCCUGGAGGUGGACAUUUUCGAC
Cyprinodon variegatus (sheepshead minnow) is the source of this 232-nucleotide long non-coding RNA. RefSeq lists it as uncharacterized. The transcript is spliced from 3 exons. The record is from RefSeq and is a predicted model, not a curated record. Lineage: Eukaryota; Metazoa; Chordata; Actinopteri; Cyprinodontiformes; Cyprinodontidae.